UGAUUGGUGUAGACAAAUUCACUUUGCAAUUUGUGGGUUACCUUCUAGACACGACCGCGUUAGCCUCUGACCAGCAGUAGUCAGAAUCACUCCACCGGCUGUGUGUGUCAAAUACUGGCUGCUUGAUAACCAGCUGGACCACGGAGAGAUGUGCCGAGGCUUUUCAGAUCAGGUAGAAUC
Sebastes umbrosus (honeycomb rockfish) is the source of this 180-nucleotide long non-coding RNA. RefSeq lists it as uncharacterized. The record is from RefSeq and is a predicted model, not a curated record. The transcript is spliced from 3 exons. NCBI's taxonomy places the organism in Eukaryota, Metazoa, Chordata, Actinopteri, Perciformes, Sebastidae.